Non-coding RNA from Paramuricea clavata, 203 nucleotides. NCBI's taxonomy places the organism in Eukaryota, Metazoa, Cnidaria, Anthozoa, Malacalcyonacea, Plexauridae. The record is from the annotation of a GenBank genome assembly.
ACACAGGGACGCCGGAACUGGGGGGGCAGGGGGGGCGGCUGCCCCCCUUGCCUUUUGCUAGGGGGGGCAGGGGGGGCAGAAGUGCCCUUUUAGUUGUAAAAUAAUACGUGAUAAAUCACAUUUCCAACGAUGCUUUUUGUAGGAAAAUCACGAGAUUCAGGUCAUUUAUAGUUUAUAUUUAUAAAAAUUUUGGGAAAUUUUUG